This is a microRNA precursor of Drosophila grimshawi, 75 nucleotides long. It matches the Rfam family "mir-278 microRNA precursor family". NCBI's taxonomy places the organism in Eukaryota, Metazoa, Arthropoda, Insecta, Diptera, Drosophilidae. The record is from Rfam.
GGUGCGACCGGAUGACGGUUCACAACGACCGUGCUUAUUUUUAACUGGUCGGUGGGACUUUCGUCCGUUUGUAAC